UACGUAGGGUGCAAGCGUUGUCCGGAAUUAUUGGGCGUAAAGAGCUCGUAGGCGGUCUGCCGCGUCGGCUGUGAAAACCCGGAGCUCAACUCCGGGCCUGCAGUCGAUACGGGCAAACUGGAGUGUUGCAGGGGAGACUGGAAUUCCUGGUGUAGCGGUGAAAUGCGCAGAUAUCAGGAGGAACACCGAUGGCGAAGGCAGGUCUCUGGGCCACUACUGACGCUGAGAAGCGAAAGCAUGGGGAGCGAACAGG
This 253-nucleotide ribosomal RNA is filed under the name uncultured bacterium. RNAcentral's name for it is "partial 16S ribosomal RNA". It matches the Rfam family "Bacterial small subunit ribosomal RNA", at positions 524 to 776 of the family's 1533-position model. The record is from RNAcentral.